UGCCUUCUGCAAGUUUUGAUGAGAGGAAGCAAAAAGAUCUAAUUCAUGAAUAUUACAUGACAACUGGAAAUUGACUGGGCCACCUCAGUUGCUUACCUUCAUGCAAGAAAGAAGAGCAUACCUGGAAGAACACGAGAGACAAGAAGGCCAACUCACCUAAGGCAACUGAAGACUCCGAGUACCUCAUCGAAAGACUGAGAGAAAAACAGAUGAUGACACCAAAGUAUAUUGGAACCUGAACACUCAGUCAACAGGCUCCCUUGCCUCUUGUGGAUGCUCACAGCUUGCAAACAGGUGGUGAUGUUUCUGUCUCUGGCAUACGGGAAGAAGCAGAGGCUCUCUAUAGCAAUAGGG
Molecule: long non-coding RNA, 354 nt
Organism: Ochotona princeps (American pika)
Lineage: Eukaryota; Metazoa; Chordata; Mammalia; Lagomorpha; Ochotonidae
Exons: 3
Source: RefSeq, a predicted model, not a curated record